UCCCUAGUGGCUCAGGUGGUAAAGAAUCUGCCUGCAAUGCAGGAGACCUGGGUUCGAUCCCUGGGUCGGGAA
This 72-nucleotide transfer RNA is filed under the name Bos taurus (domestic cattle). It matches the Rfam family "tRNA". Rfam says of the family: Transfer RNA (tRNA) molecules are approximately 80 nucleotides in length. Their secondary structure includes four short double-helical elements and three loops (D, anti-codon, and T loops). Lineage: Eukaryota; Metazoa; Chordata; Mammalia; Artiodactyla; Bovidae. RNAcentral also lists the same sequence under 3 other names. The record is from Rfam by way of RNAcentral.